RNAcentral lists this ribosomal RNA (575 nucleotides) under uncultured bacterium. RNAcentral describes it as "bacterial SSU rRNA". It matches the Rfam family "Bacterial small subunit ribosomal RNA", at positions 8 to 571 of the family's 1533-position model. The record is from RNAcentral.
AGAGUUUGAUCAUGGCUCAGAGUGAACGCUGGCGGCGUGGAUUAGGCAUGCAAGUCGAACGAUACCGCAAGGUAUAGUGGCAAAAGGGCGAGUAACACGUGAGUAAUCUACCUUCGUGUGGGGAACAACCUUGGGAAACCGAGGCUAAAACCGCAUAAGACCACGGCCUGGCAUCAGGCUGUGAUCAAAUGGGGGGACCGCAAGGCCUCUAGCAUGAAGAUGAGCUCGCGUCCUAUCAGCUUGUUGGCGGGGUAAUGGCCCACCAAGGCUUUUGACGGGUAGCUGGACUGAGAGGUUGGUCAGCCGCAUUGGGACUGAGACACUGCCCAGACUCCUACGGGAGGCUGCAGUCGAGGAUAUUUAGCAAUGCCCGAAAGGGUGACUAUGCGACGCCGCGUGUGCGAUGAAGGUCUUCGGAUCGUAAAGCACUGUCAGCAGGGAGGAAUCUCGGGGGUUCGAACAGAGCCGCCGGGUGACAGUACCUGCAGAGGAAGCCACGGCUAACUCCGUGCCAGCAGCCGCGGUAAUACGGAGGUGGCAGGGCUUACUCGGAUUGAUUGGGUGUAAAGGGUGUG